UACGGAGGGGGCUAGCGUUGUUCGGAAUUACUGGGCGUAAAGGGCUCGUAGGCGGCCAACUAAGUCGGACGUGAAAUCCCUCGGCUUAACCGGGGAACUGCGUCCGAUACUGGAUGGCUUGAGUUCGGGAGAGGGAUGCGGAAUUCCAGGUGUAGCGGUGAAAUGCGUAGAUAUCUGGAGGAACACCGGUGGCGAAAGCGGCUCACUGGACCAUAACUGACGCUGAUGCACGAAAGCUAGGGGAGCAAACAGG
This 253-nucleotide ribosomal RNA is filed under the name uncultured bacterium. RNAcentral describes it as "partial 16S ribosomal RNA". It matches the Rfam family "Bacterial small subunit ribosomal RNA", at positions 524 to 776 of the family's 1533-position model. The record is from RNAcentral.